GGACUGUGAUGAGGAUUGAGAAUGUCAUGCACCACUCUGAUUUAAAUCAGUGAGGAGAAAUUGACUCAAACCCACAUAUCUGAGUCC
Molecule: non-coding RNA, 87 nt
Organism: Nelumbo nucifera (sacred lotus)
Lineage: Eukaryota; Viridiplantae; Streptophyta; Magnoliopsida; Proteales; Nelumbonaceae
Source: Rfam